AGGAACUUAGGACUAACAAUAAUCCAGAAGCCUUCAAAGCUUCAAACAAGAGUAUAAUCUCUUAGUACCUG
This 71-nucleotide transfer RNA is filed under the name Harpesaurus borneensis. RNAcentral's name for it is "tRNA-Trp". The record is from RNAcentral. Lineage: Eukaryota; Metazoa; Chordata; Lepidosauria; Squamata; Agamidae.